AUGAAGCGCGUUUGGGAGCUUCGAAUCCCUGGUAAGGUCAAGCACUUUCUGUGGAAGGUGAUCAAAGGAGUUUUACCAUGCUAUGGUACCCUAGCAGGACGUCAUAUACCUGUCACGAGGCAAUGUUCGAUAGGCCAUAUAGGUUUUGAAGAUGCACAACAUUGCUUGUUUAAUUGUGAAAGAGCGAUGAAUAUGUGGAGUGAGCUGGGACCAAAGGAAGAAAUUCAGAAAGUUGUACUAGAGGACCGGUCGGUAUCAUUCACCAUGUCUUCUCUCAUGGAUCAACAUGAUACUGUAAGUAAUCUAUCUAUGGCAGAGUUGACUAUUGUUGGGAGCUGGUAUAUUUGGUGGCAGAGGCGGCAAAUGGUCAAGGGGGAGACGAUCUAA
Molecule: ribosomal RNA, 387 nt
Filed under: Triticum aestivum (bread wheat)
Lineage: Eukaryota; Viridiplantae; Streptophyta; Magnoliopsida; Poales; Poaceae
Description: partial small subunit ribosomal RNA
Source: RNAcentral